This 447-nucleotide ribosomal RNA is filed under the name uncultured bacterium. RNAcentral describes it as "bacterial SSU rRNA". It matches the Rfam family "Bacterial small subunit ribosomal RNA", at positions 954 to 1403 of the family's 1533-position model. The record is from RNAcentral.
GCUAAACGCGAAGAACCUUACCUGGCCUUGACAUGUCCGGAAUUCUGCAGAGAUGCGGAAGUGCCUUCGGGAAUCGGAACACAGGUGCUGCAUGGCUGUCGUCAGCUCGUGUCGUGAGAUGUUGGGUUAAGUCCCGCAACGAGCGCAACCCUUAUCGUAUGUUGCCAGCAUUCAGUUGGGCACUCAUGCGAGACUGCCGGUGACAAGCCGGAGGAAGGCGGGGACGACGUCAAGUCAUCAUGGCCCUUACGUGUGGGGCUAGAAACGUGCUACAAUGGUGGUGACAGUGAGCAGCGAGGUCGUGAGGCCAAGCUAAUCUCUAAAAGCCAUCUCAGUUCAGAUUGUAGUCUGCAACUCGACUACAUGAAGUUGGAAUCGCUAGUAAUCGCAAAUCAGCAUGUUGCGGUGAAUACGUUCCCGGGUCUUGUACACACCGGAGGUCGGUGG